Molecule: long non-coding RNA, 1356 nt
Organism: Acanthochromis polyacanthus (spiny chromis)
Lineage: Eukaryota; Metazoa; Chordata; Actinopteri; Pomacentridae
Exons: 4
Source: RefSeq, a predicted model, not a curated record
CUGGAGCUAUGUCGAAAAUUCAUUCCUCCAUCACUCACAUGUAUGAAAUUACAUAUGGAAACAGACCCCAGGUUGAAAAAAACCGAAGUUCCCCUUUAAGGGGAGGAAUUUAGCUACGGUACUCUGGAAGAAUUUAAGAAAAUCAGCAAAAUUAGUUCAUUUGUUGGAAGAAUUUUGAGCAACACAACAGCUGUAAAUAAGUUGCUUUUGUACAGUGCAAUCAGGAGCCUGUUUAUAUUGAGUACAAACUGUGCCAUCCAGCUGGCACAUUCUCCCCACUCGACUUAAGAAAAAUCUGAUUUUAAACCUCGACACUGAAUUAAACAGCUUGUUAACGUGUCUGUGCUGUGACACAUGAGCAGCUGGAGGAAUGUACAAACACUGACAGUGUGUGUGUGUGUUGUGGUGUCUCGUGUCACAGCACAAAGACUUCUGUACGCCGCCGUUUGUGGGAACCGGCGCCCAGCACUUACGUAACCAACUAGGUCGUCAUGACAACAAAGCUACAGUAAAUGAGUUGCAUUGUCCCAGCAGCCCUUACAGGUGUUUGAGAGAUGGGAGUCAGAUGAUCAGAGGAGAUGAAGGGUGUCACAAUCAGUAUGUCCAGGCUGGAAAAUCUGUUUGUGGUGUUUGUUGUCUCUGGAGGGUCGGAGCUUUGCAGCGGAGAGUCACCAGAACAUCAUUCCACAGAUGAACAAAUCAGGAAGUGACACACAGAUACACCGCUGGCAUGAAUGUCAGGCCCAGGCUCCCACGGGUGACGGUGAUGUCAUCCUCCCUGCCUCUCUGUCCGUCCGGCCGUCCGUCCACGCUGCCAUUGUGACUGCAAGGAAAGAGGUAGAGCUGACGUUGAAUGGUCAGUUUGCUUUUUCUGAAUCAUGGUGUUCUCCCAGAAACAACAGACUUCAUGUGACCUGUGGUGAACUUAGCGGAAGAGAUGAAUUAAUGAAUGGAUGGAGCGAUGGGAAGGAGCUCAAAUCACCCAGCAGAGUGAGCCAAGGGGCCAAGGGAAAGGAUGGACCACACUAUGUACUGCCUUCAAUGCAUAAAUUCUGAUUUCUAGGAAUAAUAGUUAAACACCAUAAAUACAGUUAGCCCAUGAUAUGAACAUUUUCCUAAAAUUCUGUCCAAUUUUAACAGCAUUCAGAUAACUUCACAGAGUAAAACCAUGGCAACUGCUGGAGCUGAAAAAUGAAGCUGAUGCAGAAGCACCGGAAGCUGCAGUUUCUCCAAUGGCCACUUGGGGUUUCCUUAAUAAGCAAGUCAAUCCCAAUAGACACCAAUGUUAAAAUGUCCAGUGUUAAAGCAGAAAUAAACAUAUUCGCAACUUGAAACAAAAACUGGUGUUGGUCUUUG